Leptonychotes weddellii (Weddell seal) is the source of this 1196-nucleotide non-coding RNA. The record is from RefSeq and is a predicted model, not a curated record. NCBI's taxonomy places the organism in Eukaryota, Metazoa, Chordata, Mammalia, Carnivora, Phocidae.
GAAGCGGCUGCGAGCGGCCGGUCGGGUCGUCCCCGCUCCAGGAGCCGUGACCCCGGCGAGAGUUGGAACCACGGACCGUGAACCGGAAGGGGCUGGGCAGGGUGGCCGAGGGCUGCAGCGCGGCGGGGUGGGCCACGGUGCGCCGCUGCUUCCCCUGGGGUGCUCGGGACCCGCGCCCCGUGCUUGGAGCCAAGGGCAGGGGAAGGGUGGAGAAUUCUGCUCAUCCUUGGGUCAUGGAAGACCCCGAGAACAGCCCACAGGGGCUGCCGCGGACCGAGGGUCUGGGACCGGCGGAACCCUGCAGCACUCAUCCCUGAAUCCUGAAGGCCCAGUGUGGAGGAAGCGUGAGGGUGGGGAUGAGAGGGGCAGAGAUGGAUUGGAUGUGACAUGAAGCUGGAGGACAGAUGGAUGGAGGGACUCAGUGUGGAGAGAAGCAAGGGGAUCCUGCCCCCAGAGACCCCAAGGGGAUGGACACUAAAAGGCAACAAGUAUGUGUCUGCAUGGGUUGGUGGUCUCAGAGCUUCAGGGGAAGCCAGUUCCUGCUAGUUCUCAGAGCUGUUGUCUUCCCUCUACUCCGAGACCUGAGGUGGCCUGAGUCCCGACAGUCUUCCCUGAAUGUCCUACGCUGCAGGACCUCAAGAGAUGCAGAGUGGUUCCCCCAAACCUGUCAGGUGGAGCUUCACACCACUCCGAGUGGGAGAGAUCAGAGCCAACUUUAAAUUUUGAUCAAUGAAGAAAUGGGCUGUUUCAUAUUGAAAACAUAUUGGUGAAGACAUGAGAUCUUAGGAUUCUCUAACAUUAUUAUAGUAUUUCCCUGAAGUCUGGGAGCAUUGAGUGUUUCCAUAUGUCAUUCAUUUGAAAUAAGAAGAGCCAGGGAUUCGCAUCAACCCCACCAGAGGGAGGAAGAAGCAGGGAUGUGGAGAAGAAGCCGUGGCCUCCUCUGUGCUGGGGACCCUGGGGACAAAUGGGCGUUGGUGGCAUCCAGGUGUUACCCAGAAUUGUAGGGCAGGGAAGUGCUGAGUUCACAGGCCUGGCCCAGAAGCUUCUAAGGCCCCAGACACAGAAUGGGGCUGCAGGGGGUCUGAGUGUGGAGAAGGAUCCACCCCUCAGGCCCUAGAAAUCCCUUUGAGCAAUGCCUGCUCUGACUUAAACCUUGUUCUUGGAAGAUCUCUUUUGAAGUAUGCUCUCCCACCUAA